AUUCUGCCCAAGCGGGGAAGGAUGAGAAGCUUCGACCAACGUUCGACUUGAGCGCCAGCGAGAGAGCGUUGCCGCAGGCAACGACCCGAAGGGCGAAGCGCGCAGCGCUGAGUAAUCCUUCCCCCACCACCA
This 132-nucleotide small RNA is filed under the name Escherichia coli. Its description in RNAcentral is "RtT sRNA". It matches the Rfam family "RtT RNA". From Rfam's summary of the family: This family represents a bacterial cis-regulatory element known as RtT RNA. The exact function of RtT is unknown although it is thought that it may be involved in changing the cellular response in relation to amino acid starvation. Lineage: Bacteria; Pseudomonadati; Pseudomonadota; Gammaproteobacteria; Enterobacterales; Enterobacteriaceae. The record is from RNAcentral.